RNA transcript from Rhagoletis zephyria (snowberry fruit fly), 1263 nucleotides. It is a transcript of the gene named gamma-aminobutyric acid receptor-associated protein, with no coding region annotated. Lineage: Eukaryota; Metazoa; Arthropoda; Insecta; Diptera; Tephritidae. The record is from RefSeq and is a predicted model, not a curated record.
AGAUGUCGCCCCACAAGUUUUUCGUUUCAAGUCGCCCAUUUCGGUGGACGACAUUUUGUAUUGAAAAGCCAACGAGUAAAGAGCAAAUAAUAAAUACGAGCUAGCAGGAAGUUGUGAAAAAAAUCAAGUGGAAUUAGAAAAGAAGAAAAUCAAUUUAUUUUAUUGAAUUCAUCCGAAAAAAAACUGAACAAUGAAGUUCCAAUACAAGGAGGAUCAUCCCUUUGAGAAGAGACGUGCUGAGGGUGACAAAAUACGCAGAAAGUACCCAGAUCGAGUACCAGUUAUUGUGGAGAAGGCGCCCAAAGCACGCAUUGGCGAUUUGGAUAAAAAGAAAUAUUUGGUACCAUCUGACUUAACAGUUGGCCAAUUCUAUUUUUUGAUUCGUAAGCGUAUACAUUUGCGCCCGGAAGACGCACUCUUCUUUUUUGUCAACAAUGUAAUUCCACCAACAUCGGCAACAAUGGGAUCUCUUUAUCAGGAACAUCAUGAGGAGGACUAUUUCCUGUACAUCGCCUAUUCCGAUGAAAAUGUUUAUGGCAAAAAUUAGGGCGCAUUUACCUAUGGGAGGACGGACAAGUUGGCAGAGCAGCAUAUGUGAAGAGAUUACUGUAUUGCAAAGGAAAACAAAAAGAAACAUUUGAAAAUUUUAUGUGGAUACACAUAUGCUAUAAUGAUUUAAAUACUUUGGGGUGUAUGAAGAAAAUUUUAGUUUAGAUAACUCGAUGGAAAAAUCAGAAUUGAUGAAAUUCUCUUCAGCAAGAUAUGCGACAGAAAAUUUAAUAAAUUUCAAAUAUGAAUACAACAAAGUAUAAUAAAAUCAAUAUAAUAUGCUAUAUGUAUAUAAAUAUAUAUUCAAUAAAUAUAUAUUAUAUAUAUGUACUAAUUUACGAAUGUAGCUCUAAAUAUUAGUUAUAAAUGUUUUAAGCCGAUUAAAUUUACAUUUUAUGCGGCAUCUUUUGUCUACACUAUCAUUGAUUUAGCCUUUUCUGUUUUAAUUGGAAAAUUAAUUUUUAAACUCGAAAUUCCACCUUUUCUUGUGUAAAACAUUGUUGAAUUGAAUCGGCCUUAUCGGGAACUCCGUGUGAACAAUUUUCCCCAAAAAUUAUAAAAUAAAACAAGAACAACUUUUCCCAAUUUGUUUUUGUUUUGCUUGUAAAAUCUUGUGAAAAAUUUAUUUACAUGGAAUUGGCGAUAGAGCUGAAUGUUUUUUCUUAAUCUCUUGCACGUACAUAUAAGUUCGUUUCUAUUUUGGUAUUUUGGCUU